RNAcentral lists this transfer RNA (74 nucleotides) under Phycisphaerales bacterium. RNAcentral's name for it is "tRNA-Cys". It matches the Rfam family "tRNA". Rfam says of the family: Transfer RNA (tRNA) molecules are approximately 80 nucleotides in length. Their secondary structure includes four short double-helical elements and three loops (D, anti-codon, and T loops). The record is from RNAcentral. Lineage: Bacteria; Pseudomonadati; Planctomycetota; Phycisphaerae; Phycisphaerales. RNAcentral also lists the same sequence under 2 other names.
GGCCGAGUACCCAAGUGGACUAAGGGGACGGAUUGCAAAUCCGUUAUCCGUGGGUUCGAAUCCCACCUCGGCCU